UCUACUUUCUUUAGAAAAGUGAGAGAGAGCUCUCUCUCAACUCUCUCAUCGGGGAAGGGAGAGUUGGCAACCGCCAGCGACCAUCACGACGGCGGACGGUGGCCGGAGAGAGAGAAAGCCACCAAAAGCUUUCUCCCUUCGCCCCUAACUCGAUUCCUAACACAUUAUACUCUAAAAACAUCCUUAGGAACCCAGAUCUAAGCCCUUCACCUCUCGAAGACUUUGUAAACUAGUGGCUUUUGGGCUUCCCCACUGGCUGCGAACUAAGUGUGACUUUCUGUCACUGUUGAUGAGGGUGGCGGCUCUGAGACGGUCGGAGGUGGCAGCAGCAGCAUUCAGGUGGUGACAGUCUACAAAGGUUAGGGUUUUACCCUAACCGUUGGAUGGGUCCAGAUCAGACGGUCCCCUGAUGGUACGGUGCUGGGGCAGAGAAGGGAAACCCUACCGGGUCUAGGUCUAUAACUGGGUCGGUUCGGGUCGAUCGGUUUCAUAUUAGGCAGCUUAGGGAUUGGGCCUACAACAAAAUAUGUAAAAUGUAAAAUGUAAAUUAAAAUAAUAAUAAUAAUAAUAUAAUUAAUAAUAUUUUUU
Molecule: long non-coding RNA, 588 nt
Organism: Hibiscus syriacus
Lineage: Eukaryota; Viridiplantae; Streptophyta; Magnoliopsida; Malvales; Malvaceae
Exons: 2
Source: RefSeq, a predicted model, not a curated record